AGAUGGGACAGUGACCUGGCUACACCGGCCUGUGCCACCCCACUCACUGAUCUCUAAGGUUGCUUCUGCAGAAGCAUCUGGCGAGGCAAGUGCCUCCCUCCUUCACCAUUCUGCACGCAUCCCAGCGCAAGCCCUGGGCUCGGGCAGAGAGGACGCGCUUCCCUGACACAGGAGCAAGUUCCUUAUCAAGGACACAUGAGGAGCUACAAGGCCACGCUAGCACCUCCAAUCAUCAGAUGAAUAAAGAGAAUGUAAUACAUGGUUUUUUUAAAUUUAGAUAUAAUGAAGAAUUAGAUCGUGCCAUUU
Molecule: small nuclear RNA, 306 nt
Filed under: Jaculus jaculus (lesser Egyptian jerboa)
Lineage: Eukaryota; Metazoa; Chordata; Mammalia; Rodentia; Dipodidae
Description: 7SK RNA (ENSJJAG00000004761.1)
Rfam family: 7SK RNA
About the family: 7SK was discovered as an abundant small nuclear RNA in the mid-70s but a possible function has only recently been suggested. Two independent studies have found that 7SK RNA binds the CDK9/cyclin T complex (known as elongation factor P-TEFb).
Source: Rfam by way of RNAcentral